GAUGAACGCUGGCGGCGUGCCUAAUACAUGCAAGUCGAGCGAACAGACGAGGAGCUUGCUCCUCUGACGUUAGCGGCGGACGGGUGAGUAACACGUGGAUAACCUACCUAUAAGACUGGGAUAACUUCGGGAAACCGGAGCUAAUACCGGAUAAUAUAUUGAACCGCAUGGUUCAAUAGUGAAAGACGGUUGUGCUGUGACUUAUAGAUGGAUCCGCGCCGCAUUAGCUAGUUGGUAAGGUAACGGCUUACCAAGGCGACGAUGCGUAGCCGACCUGAGAGGGUGAUCGGCCACACUGGAACUGAGACACGGUCCCGACUCCUACGGGAGGCAGCAGUAGGGAAUCUUCCGCAAUGGGCGAAAGCCUGACGUAGCAACGCCGCGUGAGUGCUGAAGGUCUUCGGAUCGUAAAACUCUGUUAUUAGGGAAGACCAAAUGUGUAAGUACCUAUGCACGUCUUGACGGUACCUAAUCAGAAAGCCACGGCUAACUACGUG
Molecule: ribosomal RNA, 497 nt
Filed under: uncultured bacterium
Lineage: Bacteria
Description: partial 16S ribosomal RNA
Rfam family: Bacterial small subunit ribosomal RNA
Source: RNAcentral